GUUAACAUACUUUAUAAAGGAGAAGGUUUGAUUUGCAUUUAAAAAGAGGGUCCGCCCCUGUUAACU
This 66-nucleotide transfer RNA is filed under the name Cerion incanum. RNAcentral's name for it is "tRNA-Ala". The record is from RNAcentral. Lineage: Eukaryota; Metazoa; Mollusca; Gastropoda; Stylommatophora; Cerionidae.